Long non-coding RNA from Prionailurus viverrinus (fishing cat), 1721 nucleotides. RefSeq lists it as uncharacterized. Lineage: Eukaryota; Metazoa; Chordata; Mammalia; Carnivora; Felidae. The transcript has 4 exons. The record is from RefSeq and is a predicted model, not a curated record.
CUCAUAUACUUCUUGGAUUCUGUAGUUACCAGAGCUCUGCUUAGCAGGCGGGACAAAGAGAGUUACACUUUAUUACUGAUGACUUCAAAUGCUGGGCCAUGAAAUGGAAAUUUAAUGUAAAUAACUUACAUUUACAGAUAAAUGGAAGGAUUCUGAAAAGUGACAAAGAACAGAGCACUGUUAAUGCUGGUAAUUGAAGGGAAAGUCCUACCCCAGGCCAGGAUGUCGGCGAUACCCCCUCAUGAUCACAAGGUGGCUGCUGUAUCCCCAGGAAUCACAUCUUCAUUGAAUCAUGCUGGAAUACAGGAGUAAAGGAAUCCAAUCGUGUGACGAAGUAAAUGCGCUCCGGGAGUCUCUCUUUGUAAGGAUGGUUGCUUUCUGGUACUUAUGACCAAAACUGCUUCUGAAGAACUUUUCAUCACCUCACUACUCUCCAGAAUUGGAGGGACAAUUUACAAGGACUUUACAGACAUUGUAUGGAUGACACCAGGCUUCAAAUUCCACUCCCUACUUUCAAAACUGCAUUCUUCAAAGUUCUUCCUGCCAUGCUACCAUGACUGCCAAUGGAUUUCUGCCAAUAAUCAGGAAUACCAGUGCUCCCUGGGACAAUGCGAGUGACACCUUCAGACGAUGAAUGCCGUGUGGUGGGUGAGCCCCGGCGAUGGCCCUGCUACUCUGGUGCAGCAUCUUCUCUCGAUCAGCCCUAGAACGUUCCCCAGGCUGAUAACAGACCGCCGUCUCGGGUGGUCUUGGGUGCCUUGCACACUGUGAUGCUGGACACCUGCUUUUGUCCACAUACUUGUGCUUAGUCAUCAACGGACGCUCACUCCUCAGGGUGCUGCAGGGAGAGUGGGAAACACGCAGAACGGGGCCAGGCAGCCCUUGAGCAAAUGGGUUCCUCCCCAUGAGCCUCGUUGUCUGCAUCUGCAAAGUGAGGACAACCGCGACCUUGUAGGACCUUGUAGGACUGCUUGGUAAUCAAGAAGGUAAGAUGUGGGGCCAUGACAGUUGUAGUCACUGCAGAAAUCCUGGGGUGUCCGAGCAAGCACUCUGGAACUACAGAACUCCCUGACGACUAUAGGGUCAUUCUAAUGCGAAUAAGGAGAGUUUCUCCUGGAACACUGUGAUGAUAAUCUACUAUUAAAGCCCCGACUUAUGAUCCCUCCACUAAUUGCUGCCACCAGAAGGCAGUGAUAUAGUUUAUCCUCUUAGGGGAGCCCAGAUCCUCACUCUAAGAAGUUAGAGUUAAUAUUACAGUAAAUUUCACUGUUGACUUUUAUAAGAAUUAAUAUCUCAGAGAGGUGCUCGCAAUAAGCCAGAUGUUGCUGCAGGGGGAGAGGGGGGCCUGACUGUGGCCAAGGCAGCACCGGGUGGUAGGGGGUGCUUGUGGGGCCCCCCGAGAAUGGAGAGGAAUCAGAAGGGGCCAGGAGGACCUCCUACUACCCAAGGAAGAGGAAGCAGCGGAGCUGACAAAGCUGGUGGAAUUAUUGGGAAAAAAAAAAGUGUGGAAUCGGAAAAAGCCAUGAAAAGGCUCAGAGACUCAGGAGCUUCUUAAGGCUUGUGGAAUGUGAACCAGAAUCUAGUGUGCAUGGAGACAAAUGGUGCUUGUACCUGUGUGUCAGGUACCAGGUGCAAAGGGUAACCUGGAGCUAAUAGAGGGUGAUGUGUCCGCAGAGAGGGCAGCGCUGGCCUCAGUGAAAGGGGAGUUUUGUGAGAUGGCC